UCUCAGAGGCAGCGUAGCAAAGAAUUGUU
This 29-nucleotide non-coding RNA is filed under the name Rattus norvegicus (Norway rat). Lineage: Eukaryota; Metazoa; Chordata; Mammalia; Rodentia; Muridae. The record is from RNAcentral.